GUGAAGCGGCAACAGCUCAAAUUUGAAAUCUGGCCUCGGCCCGAGUUGUAAUUUGCAGAGGAAGCUUUAGGCGCGGCACCAUCUGAGUCCCCUGGAACGGGGCGCCAUAGAGGGUGAGAGCCCCGUAUAGAUGGACGCCUAGCCUGUGUAAAGCUCCUUCGACGAGUCGAGUAGUUUGGGAAUGCUGCUCAAAAUGGGAGGUAAAUUUCUUCUAAAGCUAAAUACCGGCCAGAGACCGAUAGCGCACAAGUAGAGUGAUCGAAAGAUGAAAAGCACUUUGAAAAGAGGGUUAAAUAGCACGUGAAAUUGUUGAAAGGGAAGCGCUUGUGACCAGACUUGCGCCGGGCGGAUCAUCCGGUGUUCUCACCGGUGCACUCCGCCCGGCUCAGGCCAGCAUCGGUUCUCGCGGGGGGAUAAAGGCCCUGGGAACGUAGCUCCUCCGGGAGUGUUAUAGCCCAGGGCGCAAUGCCCUCGCGGGGACCGAGGUUCGCGCAUCUGCAAGGAUGCUGGCGUAAUGGUCAUCAGCGACCCGUCUUGAAACACGGACCAAGGAGUCAAGGUUUUGCGCGAGUGUUUGGGUGUAAAACCCGCACGCGUAAUGAAAGUGAACGUAGGUGAGAGCUUCGGCGCAUCAUCGACCGAUCCUGAUGUUUUCGGAUGGAUUUGAGUAGGAGCGUUAAGCCUUGGACCCGAAAGAUGGUGAACUAUGCUUGGAUAGGGUGAAGCCAGAGGAAACUCUGGUGGAGGCUCGCAGCGGUUCUGACGUGCAAAUCGAUCGUCAAAUCUGAGCAUGGGG
RNAcentral lists this ribosomal RNA (796 nucleotides) under Parachaetomium subspirilliferum. Its description in RNAcentral is "partial 28S large subunit ribosomal RNA". It matches the Rfam family "Eukaryotic large subunit ribosomal RNA", at positions 93 to 922 of the family's 3401-position model. The record is from RNAcentral. Lineage: Eukaryota; Fungi; Ascomycota; Sordariomycetes; Sordariales; Chaetomiaceae.